AGCAGCCGCGGUAAUUCCAGCUCCAAUAGCGUAUAUUAAAGUUGUUGCAGUUAAAAAGCUCGUAGUUGAAUUUCGGGAUCAAUAUGUUGGUCGUGCCUCGGUACGUACUAGCAUAUUGGUUUUCUCCUUUCUGAAGAACCAUGAUGUCAUUUAUUUGGUGUCGUGGGGAAUAAGGACUGUUACUUUGAAAAAAUUAGAGUGUUUAAAGCAGGCUCACGCUUGAAUACAUUAGCAUGGAAUAAUGAAAUAGGACGUUUGAUUCUAUUUUGUUGGUUUCUAGGAUCGACGUAAUGAUUAAUAGGGAUAGUUGGGGGCAUUAGUAUUCAAUUGUCAGAGGUGAAAUUCUUGGAUUUAUUGAAGACUAACUACUGCGAAAGCAUUUGCCAAGGAUGUUUUCAUUAAUCAAAGAACGAAAGUUAGGGGAUCGAAGACGAUCAGAUACCGUCGUAGUCUUAACCAUAAACUAUGCCGACUAGGGAUCGGAUGAUGUUUAAUUUUUAAUGUACUCAUUCGGCGUACC
Molecule: unclassified non-coding RNA, 520 nt
Filed under: uncultured Glomus
Lineage: Eukaryota; Fungi; Glomeromycota; Glomeromycetes; Glomerales; Glomeraceae
Description: SSU rRNA
Rfam family: Eukaryotic small subunit ribosomal RNA
Source: RNAcentral